GAUGAACGCUGGCGGCGUGCCUAAUACAUGCCAGUCGAGCGAACAGACGAGGAGCUUGCUCCUCUGACGUUAGCGGCGGACGGGUGAGUAACACGUGGAUAACCUACCUAUAAGACUGGGAUAACUUCGGGAAACCGGAGCUAAUACCGGAUAAUAUAUUGAACCGCAUGGUUCAAUAGUGAAAGACGGGUUUGCUGUCACUUAUAGAUGGAUCCGCGCCGCAUUAGCUAGUUGGUAAGGUAACGGCUUACCAAGGCAACGAUGCGUAGCCGACCUGAGAGGGUGAUCGGCCACACUGGAACUGAGACACGGUCCAGACUCCUACGGGAGGCAGCAGUAGGGAAUCUUCCGCAAUGGGCGAAAGCCUGACGGAGCAACGCCGCGUGAGUGAUGAAGGUCUUCGGAUCGUAAAACUCUGUUAUUAGGGAAGAACAAAUGUGUAAGUAACUAUGCACGUCUUGACGGUACCUAAUCAGAAAGCCACGGCUAACUACGUG
This 497-nucleotide ribosomal RNA is filed under the name uncultured bacterium. RNAcentral's name for it is "partial 16S ribosomal RNA". It matches the Rfam family "Bacterial small subunit ribosomal RNA", at positions 28 to 507 of the family's 1533-position model. The record is from RNAcentral.